CUGGUGCGCUCGCUAGUAGGUAAGGAUUUAUAAAUGAACUGCCUAACUUAUAAUGCCCCUGCGCGAGGACCCACCCAAUCAAUGAAGGUGGGGGCGAUGCGGGGGCAACAGCUCGGCCAUAGCGAGGUCCCCACGGGAGAGCCUUCCGCGUCACGGAGCGCAAUGACCGUGGGUAACCCUGGCCGAGUACACUCUUCUGGCCCGCCUGGGUUAAGCCGCUUGAGAUUGCCCUAUGGCUUCAAUGAGAGCGGUCGUUACGGGCGGGCCACAUUUCC
Thermococcales archaeon 44_46 is the source of this 275-nucleotide non-coding RNA. The record is from Rfam. Lineage: Archaea; Methanobacteriati; Methanobacteriota; Thermococci; Thermococcales.